This 468-nucleotide ribosomal RNA is filed under the name uncultured bacterium. RNAcentral describes it as "partial 16S ribosomal RNA". It matches the Rfam family "Bacterial small subunit ribosomal RNA", at positions 28 to 507 of the family's 1533-position model. The record is from RNAcentral.
GACGAACGCUGGCGGCGUGCUUAACACAUGCAAGUCGAACGGAAAGGCCCUGCUUUUGUGGGGUGCUCGAGUGGCGAACGGGUGAGUAACACGUGAGUAACCUGCCCUUGACUUUGGGAUAACUUCAGGAAACUGGGGCUAAUACCGGAUAGGAGCUCCUGCUGCAUGGUGGGGGUUGGAAAGUUUCGGCGGUUGGGGAUGGACUCGCGGCUUAUCAGCUUGUUGGUGGGGUAGUGGCUUACCAAGGCUUUGACGGGUAGCCGGCCUGAGAGGGUGACCGGCCACAUUGGGACUGAGAUACGGCCCAGACUCCUACGGGAGGCAGCAGUGGGGAAUAUUGCACAAUGGGCGGAAGCCUGAUGCAGCAACGCCGCGUGCGGGAUGACGGCCUUCGGGUUGUAAACCGCUUUCGCCUGUGACGAAGCGGGAGUGACGGUAAUUGGUAAAGAAGCACCGGCUAACUACGUG